GACGAACGCUGGCGGCGUGCUUAACACAUGCAAGUCGAACGGAAAGGCCCUGCUUUUGUUGGGUGCUCGAGUGGCGAACGGGUGAGUAACACGUGAGUAACCUGCCCUUUACUUUGGGAUAACUUCAGGAAACUGUGGCUAAUACCGGAUAGGAGCUCCUGCUGCAUGGUGUGGGUUUGAAAGUUUCGGCGGCUGGGCUUGGACUCGCGGCUUAUCAGCUUGUUGGUGUGGUUGUGGCAUACCAAGGCUUUGGCGGGUAGCCGGCCUGAGAGGGUGACGGGCCACAGUGGGACUGAGAUACGGGCCGUACUCAUACGGGAGGCAGCAGUGGAGAAUAUUGCGCAAUGGGCGGAAGCCUGAUGCAGCAACGCCGCGUGGGGGAUGACGGCCGUCGGGUUGGAAACCGCUUUCGCCUGUGACGAAGAGUGAGUGACGGUAACGGAUAAGGAAGCACCGGCUAACUACGUG
This 468-nucleotide ribosomal RNA is filed under the name uncultured bacterium. RNAcentral describes it as "partial 16S ribosomal RNA". It matches the Rfam family "Bacterial small subunit ribosomal RNA", at positions 28 to 507 of the family's 1533-position model. The record is from RNAcentral.